CUAGUAACGGCGAGUGAAGCGGCAACAGCUCAAAUUUGAAAUCUGGCUCUCGGGCCCGAGUUGUAAUUUGUAGAGGAUGCUUUUGAUGCGGUGCCUUCCGAGUUCCCUGGAACGGGACGCCAUAGAGGGUGAGAGCCCCGUCUGGUUGGAUGCCAAAUCUCUGUAAAGCUCCUUCGACGAGUCGAGUAGUUUGGGAAUGCUGCUCUAAAUGGGAGGUAUAUGUCUUCUAAAGCUAAAUACCGGCCAGAGACCGAUAGCGCACAAGUAGAGUGAUCGAAAGAUGAAAAGCACUUUGAAAAGAGAGUUAAAAAGUACGUGAAAUUGUUGAAAGGGAAGCGUUUAUGACCAGACUUGGGCUUGGUUAAUCAUCUGGGGUUCUCUCCAGUGCACUUUUCCAGUCCAGGCCAGCAUCAGUUUUCGCCGGGGGAUAAAGGCUUCGGGAAUGUGGCUCUCUCCGGGGAGUGUUAUAGCCCGUUGCGUAAUACCCUGGCGGGGACUGAGGUUCGCGCAUCUGCAAGGAUGCUGGCGUAAUGGUCAUCAACGACCCGUCUUGAAACACGGACCAAGGAGUCGUCUUCGUAUGCGAGUGUUCGGGUGUCAAACCCCUACGCGUAAUGAA
RNAcentral lists this unclassified non-coding RNA (619 nucleotides) under Fusarium equiseti. Its description in RNAcentral is "sequence contains 28S rRNA gene". It matches the Rfam family "Eukaryotic large subunit ribosomal RNA", at positions 80 to 723 of the family's 3401-position model. Lineage: Eukaryota; Fungi; Ascomycota; Sordariomycetes; Hypocreales; Nectriaceae. The record is from RNAcentral.